Molecule: transfer RNA, 73 nt
Filed under: Zootermopsis nevadensis
Lineage: Eukaryota; Metazoa; Arthropoda; Insecta; Blattodea; Termopsidae
Rfam family: tRNA
About the family: Transfer RNA (tRNA) molecules are approximately 80 nucleotides in length. Their secondary structure includes four short double-helical elements and three loops (D, anti-codon, and T loops). Further hydrogen bonds mediate the characteristic L-shaped molecular structure. tRNAs have two regions of fundamental functional importance: the anti-codon, which is responsible for specific mRNA codon recognition, and the 3' end, to which the tRNAs corresponding amino acid is attached (by aminoacyl-tRNA synthetases). tRNAs cope with the degeneracy of the genetic code in two manners: having more than one tRNA (with a specific anti-codon) for a particular amino acid; and 'wobble' base-pairing, i.e. permitting non-standard base-pairing at the 3rd anti-codon position.
Source: Rfam by way of RNAcentral
GCCACGGUGGUCCAGCGGUUAGAACGCUGGCCUUGUAAUCCUGGGGUCUCGGGUUCGAUUCUCGGCGGUGCCC